Molecule: ribosomal RNA, 219 nt
Filed under: Triticum aestivum (bread wheat)
Lineage: Eukaryota; Viridiplantae; Streptophyta; Magnoliopsida; Poales; Poaceae
Description: partial small subunit ribosomal RNA
Source: RNAcentral
AUGGAGUAUGACGAGCGGUACGCGCCAUUCUACAGGAGAGCCCGACUGCUGGGUUUCGUCAUGCAGUUCAAGCGCAAGCAGCCGACGCUCGUCCACUCAGCUCUCACGGCUUUGAUUGAUCGGUGGCGGCCAGAGACACACAGCUUCCAUCUUCCAUGUGGGGAGAUGAUGGUUACACUCGAGGAUUGGGGGAUGAUUACGGGUGUGACGCCCGGGUAA